Molecule: transfer RNA, 73 nt
Filed under: Ailuropoda melanoleuca (giant panda)
Lineage: Eukaryota; Metazoa; Chordata; Mammalia; Carnivora; Ursidae
Rfam family: tRNA
About the family: Transfer RNA (tRNA) molecules are approximately 80 nucleotides in length. Their secondary structure includes four short double-helical elements and three loops (D, anti-codon, and T loops).
Source: Rfam by way of RNAcentral
GCCUGGCUGGCUCAGUCGGUGGAAUGUGUGACUCUUGAUCUUGGGGUCGUGAGUUCAAGCCCCACGUUGGGCA